This 574-nucleotide long non-coding RNA is filed under the name Homo sapiens (human). RNAcentral describes it as "HSALNT0022425". The record is from RNAcentral. Lineage: Eukaryota; Metazoa; Chordata; Mammalia; Primates; Hominidae.
GUGACAGUUAGCAUCUUUGUCUUGUUCCAGUUCUCAAGGGGAAUGCUUCUAGCUUUUGCUCAUUCAAUAUGAUGUUAGCUGUGGGUUCGUGACAGACAGCUCUUAUUAUUUUGAGGACUGUUGCGGAGGGAAGUAAGUGAAUGUGUCCAAAACACUUGGAAGUUUGCCUGGAAUCCAGUGUGUGCUAUACCAGAGUCCUAGUUAGGCGUGGCCUUGAACAGCCCUGAGAAUGAACAUCUGAGAAGCGUCAAUGUGGGAUGCCCUGAGAUGCAAUUAAGAGGAGGAAGGAAACCAUGGUUCUAUUUUAACAUGCCAGCACCAUGUAAAAGCAAGACCAACCCUCUCCUUUCUCCUGUUCCUCAGACUACUCAAUGUGAAGAUGAUGAGGAUGAAGACCUUUAUAAUGAUCCACUUCCACUUAAUGAAUAGUAAGUAUGUUUUCUCUUCUUCAUGAUUCUCUGAAUAACAUUUUCUUUUCUCUAGCUUUCUUUAUUACAAGAAUACAGUAUACAAUACACAUAUCAUACAAAUAUGUGUUAAUUGACUGUUAAUGUCCUCAGUAAGGCUUCUGGUC